This 497-nucleotide ribosomal RNA is filed under the name uncultured bacterium. RNAcentral describes it as "partial 16S ribosomal RNA". It matches the Rfam family "Bacterial small subunit ribosomal RNA", at positions 28 to 507 of the family's 1533-position model. The record is from RNAcentral.
GAUGAACGCUGGCGGCGUGCCUAAUACAUGCAAGUCGAGCGAACAGACGAGGAGCUUGCUCCUCUGACGUUAGCGGCGGACGGGUGAGUAACACGUGGAUAACCUACCUAUAAGACUGGGAUAACUUCGGGAAACCGGAGCUAAUACCGGAUAAUAUGUUGAAUCGCAUGGUUCAACAGUGAAAGACGGUCUUGCUGUCACUUAUAGAUGGAUCCGCGCCGCAUUAGCUAGUUGGUAAGGUAACAGCUUACCAAGGCAACGAUGCGUAGCCAACCUGAGAGGGUGAUCGGCCACACUGGAACUGAGACACGGUCCAGACUCCUGCGGGAGGCAGCAGUAGGGAAUCUUCCGCAAUGGGCGAAAGCCUGACGGAGCAACGCCGCGUGAGUGAAGAAGGUCUUCGGAUCGUAAAACUCUGUUAUUAGGGAAGAACAAAUGUGUAAGUAACUAUGCACAUCUUGACGGUACCUAAUCAGAAAGCCACGGCUAACUACGUG